UACGUAGGGUGCAAGCGUUAAUCGGAAUUACUGGGCGUAAAGGGUGCGUAGGCGGUUCUUUAAGUCCGGGGUGAAAGCCCACUGCUCAACAGUGGAACUGCCCUGGAAACUGGAGAACUUGAGUACAGACGAGGGCGGCGGAAUGGAUGGUGUAGCGGUGAAAUGCAUAGAUACCAUCCAGAACCCCGAUUGCGAAGGCAGCUGCCUAGACUGUAACUGACGCUGAGGCACGAAAGCGUGGGGAGCGAACAGG
RNAcentral lists this ribosomal RNA (253 nucleotides) under uncultured bacterium. RNAcentral describes it as "partial 16S ribosomal RNA". It matches the Rfam family "Bacterial small subunit ribosomal RNA", at positions 524 to 776 of the family's 1533-position model. The record is from RNAcentral.